Molecule: small RNA, 136 nt
Filed under: Marmota monax (woodchuck)
Lineage: Eukaryota; Metazoa; Chordata; Mammalia; Rodentia; Sciuridae
Source: RNAcentral
GCCAGGUGCAGUGGCAACGCCUGUAAUCCCAGUGGCUCUGGAGGCUGAGGCAGGAGGGUCACCAGAGUUCAAAGGUUUAAAGCCAGCCUCAGCAACUUAGCGAGGCCCUGUGCAAUUUAGUGAGAUCCUGUCUCUA